This 442-nucleotide ribosomal RNA is filed under the name uncultured bacterium. Its description in RNAcentral is "partial 16S ribosomal RNA". It matches the Rfam family "Bacterial small subunit ribosomal RNA", at positions 338 to 795 of the family's 1533-position model. The record is from RNAcentral.
CCUACGGGAGGCAGCAGUGGGGAAUAUUGGGCAAUGGGCGCAAGCCUGAUGCAGCAACGCCGCGUGAAGGAAGAAGGCUUUCGGGUUGUAAACUUCUUUUGUCGGGGAAGAGGGGAAGACGGUACCUGACGAAUAAGCCACGGCUAACUACGUGCCAGCAGCCGGGGUAAUACGGAGGUGGCAAGCGCUGUCCGGAUUUACUGGGUGGAAAGCGCGUGAAGUCGGGUUGACAAGUCAGAUGUGAAAUCCUGCGGCUUAACCGGAGAACUGCAUUUGAAACUGUCGAUCUUGAGUACUGGAGAGGCAGGCGGAAUUCCUAGUGUAGCGGUGAAAUGCGUAGAUAUUAGGAGGAACACCAGUGGCGAAGGCGGUCCGCUGGACAGCAACUGACGGUGAGGUGCGAAAGCGUGGGGAGCAAACAGGAUUAGAUACCCGGGUAGUC